Molecule: ribosomal RNA, 379 nt
Filed under: Malassezia sp.
Lineage: Eukaryota; Fungi; Basidiomycota; Malasseziomycetes; Malasseziales; Malasseziaceae
Description: partial small subunit ribosomal RNA
Rfam family: Eukaryotic small subunit ribosomal RNA
Source: RNAcentral
AUUCCAGCUCCAAUAGCGUAUAUUAAAGUUGUUGCAGUUAAAAAGCUCGUAGUUGGACCUUGGGCCUGGACGGGCGGUCCGCCUCACGGCGUGUACUGUCUUGCCGGGCCUUUCCUCUUGGUGAUCUGUUGUUUCGGCAGCAGGGAACCAGGACCUUUACUUUGAAAAAAUUAGAGUGUUCAAAGCAGGCUCGACGCCGGAAUAUAUUAGCAUGGAAUAAUAAAAUAGGACGUGCGGUUCUAUUUUGUUGGUUUUUGGAAUCGCCGUAAUGAUUAAUAGGGACAGUCGGGGGCAUUAGUACUCACAUGCUAGAGGUGAAAUUCUUGGAUUUUGUGAAGACUAACUUCUGCGAAAGCAUUUGCCAAGGAUGUUUUCAUCA